UUAAAUUUGGCAUGAGUGAAUAGAUUUAGCAAAUACUUCAAUAGGUAACUCCUGGAUCCCCUGCUAGUCGUGCUGGGUUCCGUCCUGGUGAUGUCGUCAUCGAGUUCGAUAAGCAACCUGUUGGCAGUAUCCAAGAGAUCAUUGAAAUUAUGGGAGAUAGAGUUGGGAUUCCAUUGAAGGCAGUUGUGAAAAGAUCACUUAAUGGCAUCAUCACUCUGACUGUUCUUCCUGAGGAGUCCAAUCCAGAUAUGUGAUACUAUUACCCUCACUACACAAUCAAUUCAAUUCUUUCAUAUUUCCCAUGAUUUGGUUAUGGCUUAGGGUUAGAACUCGAUACCUUAACCAUCUCGUGUAAAGUUGUAUAGGAUGUUUAAGUUUAGUUUAUGAACUUUUAAGGUUGUCUAUUUCGUCGUUGAACUUUAAAGAACUAGACUUGUAAUUUGACUAGAAAUAGUCGUAG
Molecule: long non-coding RNA, 460 nt
Organism: Cucurbita moschata (crookneck pumpkin)
Lineage: Eukaryota; Viridiplantae; Streptophyta; Magnoliopsida; Cucurbitales; Cucurbitaceae
Exons: 2
Source: RefSeq, a predicted model, not a curated record